Molecule: long non-coding RNA, 442 nt
Organism: Podarcis raffonei (Aeolian wall lizard)
Lineage: Eukaryota; Metazoa; Chordata; Lepidosauria; Squamata; Lacertidae
Exons: 3
Source: RefSeq, a predicted model, not a curated record
AGUGAAGGCAGCUGCCUGAUGGCAAUAGACAGCGGAUUAAAUGGUGAUGGAGAAGGUGGGGCACCUGAUCUUUUUUCUCUCAUGGGUGAACAAGCAUCAGGUGCCACCAUGGCUUUGCCUCCAGUGCAGUUAUUCAAGACAGGCUCUCCUCUCUCUACCCUGUUGACCUUCUGAUAUACGAAGACAAUGACUCCGUGGGAACACACAUCCUCCCCCAGUGUGUCAAAAAGACCUCAGGAAAACCAUCACAUCCUGCUAUGCUCCAUCAGAAAUAACCUUCCAUUAUUAGGAGGCAUAUAAAUAAGGAGAAUUAUUUAUGUAUGUUAUUUUUAUAUUGCCCAACAACCAGGGCCUCUGGGAGGCUUACAAGGUAAUAAGGAAUCCAGCCAAGCAGAAACAAAAUGAAAUGAGAGGGGUCAAUUUCCUUCUCCCCUUCCAUCUU